Long non-coding RNA from Pyrus x bretschneideri (Chinese white pear), 2523 nucleotides. RefSeq lists it as uncharacterized. Lineage: Eukaryota; Viridiplantae; Streptophyta; Magnoliopsida; Rosales; Rosaceae. The record is from RefSeq and is a predicted model, not a curated record. The transcript is spliced from 2 exons.
CACACACACACACACACACAUACCUUCAAUCUUCCCACUCUCUCCGCUGCGAUCCCCACUCCACUCUCCUUUACUGUUUUAUUUGAUCGAUUUUUCGAGAAAAACCCUACAAGUUCACUUCAAAAGUUUGGAUUUUUAUAUUUAUUUUUCAAGAUAUUCGGUUAAAUAAUUUUCCUUUUGUAGUGUUUGCAGGCCUCUAUUUUUGCCUUGAGCUUCAGUUCAAUUGGUGUUUGAAUUUCAUUAAUUUAUUUGGGUUGUGGUGGUUGGAUAAAACCGAGAAUUGGGGAACAGAGCAGUGAGCCAAAGGUACCAAUUUUUGUGUUUUCACUUUCAUGCAUGACUUAUAUAAUUUUUUUUAUGAUUUUUUUUCGCGUGUUGUUAUUAAUUGAGAUUUUGUAUUUAAGUAGUGAAAUUUGGUCUUAUUAUUUGUUCUUGAAUUGUUUUUAGGGUUUCCGAAACGUAGAUUUGAUUUGAGUGUGGUGAAUUUACUGUUUGUGGGGUAUAUCCGUAUAUGUAAGUAUAAGAGACAAGGGGGUGUGUGUUUGUGUGAAGUCAGAACUAAGAGCUUGUUUUCUGGGGUUGGGGUUGGUGUUUCUGUAGAAUCUGACUUUGGCGAGGUAGUGACCGGAGAAUUGAGACUUCGAGUUGAUUCGGGUCUUUUUCGCUUGGGCCCGUGUAGUUGCUUCUAAUCCUGAUGCUGCCCCUGUUGUUGCUCUUUCUGCUGCUGCUGAUGCUGACGAGCGACUCACAGCUCAUUGCCUCCGGUACCUGGAAUUGAUCAUGAAUCGGUCAGGAAUUGAUGUAGCUGUGCUGUGUGCACCAGCUGCUGAUUGUCUGUCUAUUUAAUCUAACAAUUUAUAUAUGAUCUUGUUUGUUCAAAUUUUGAAAAUAAAAAACAAAAAAUAGUGCUUUCUUUCAAGGUUUCUUGUUUCUUUCUAUUCAGAUGCAGUUUUCACUUUCAUUUCUUCCAAUAUUUAUUGAUCUUCAUAUGUACACACAUAUGUUCAUGAGCUUUGUAGUUAAGUUCAUGCGUCUUUAACAAGUCACAUUCGUAAUUUAUUUUCUGUGUCAUAGCUAGUCAUGAGCUUUGUGUGGUAAAUUCUUGUGUCAUAACUCGGCCGCCUCAGGGUGUAGAUAUUAGAGCAUUUGAAUCAUGUGCCUGUUUCUGUACCUAGUGUUAAUCGAGAAACUGUUGGACCCAAAUGUAAUGGAAUGUCUGUUGGGCAUACGAGGUGAUUAAUUUACGUUUAUCUAUUAAUUGUUGUUUUCUUUUCUUUCUUCCUAGUUUCUUAUCUCUGAAAUGUUUCUUCUCAAAAACAUUGGUCGACCAGCAGCCAGAAAACCAUGGAACAGAAGAGGUCUACUUUUCACCUGCAACAUCAACAUUCCAAAUGGUCUACAUCACCCUAGUCUAAAUUUAGGGGCCAACAAACAAUCGCCUGAGGAAGCAGAGGAGAAAAGCCUCUCCUAGAAGCUUACCAUGGUGUUCAAGGACCUUUCUACUCCACAACGGUUGGAGGACUGAGAAGCUCUGACAAUCCUGAAAGUAAGAUCACCCCUGUGCACGCUACUGAUGAAGAGUUCUGGGGUGCAACAUUUAAAGGUGAUAUGAAGCGACUAUCUUUUUCUUUUAUUAAGGGAAUAAGUGACUAAUUUAUAAACACUAGUCAAUACUAUGGUUUAUUGGCAUGCUAUGCCUGUGGGAUUAUAGGCAUAGGAUCUACGUUAAUGGUUGAGAUGUGUAGUAUCGCGUCGCUAAUGUAGAGGCUCUGUAAAGUUCCUUUUGGAGAUGCGCCUUUGAUUUUCUGUUUGGGGGAUUGGGUCUAGUUUUAUUUUCUGUUUUGCUCUCAGUGCAUAGUGUCAGAAAAGCAAAGCUUAGCAAUGGAACUGGUAAAAGCCUUAGUAGGAUACAGUUUCAAAUCAUCAGAUAAAACACUGCAAAAACUGCUGGUGUUGAGUUUUUGCUGCGAGUUAACUGAUGAUGUGAGAGUUGAAAGGCUUAAGCUUCCCCUCUGAGGAAACUAUAUCGCAAGCAAAUCUGAAAAUAACGGAUGGACUUGAAACUCCAAAUCAGAUGCAAAGAAAGCAUCAGAGCUGUGACGUUUAGCAAACUGGUGAGAGAAUUUGCUCGUACAUAUCUUUCGAAGAUGAAGUCCAUACAACUUGAGAAACAUGUACCAGAUCUCUAGGAACAUUGAUGUCAUGGACUCAUGUGUGGCGAAUGGCGGCGGAGAUGGUUUCUGGUGAGGGCCAGGGAUUUUGUUGAAUGCAGAUUGUCAGCAUUUUGCCACAAACUAGAAGUUUUUUUUCCUGAUAGAGGUGCGCCGUCGUCUUCAAAGUCUAAAUUUAAAUCUGCAUCCGUUUCGGUGCGGGAGGUUGUAUGGUGUUGGAUGCAAGGCAUGCAUCAGGAGCCAUGUACAUACCCCAACACUCAAGUGACUGUUUGAUAAGAGAAUUUGAUCUGUACAGCUAUGCUUUUGUCCAUCUAUUUGAUCUGAAUCAUAUCGAUGAUCUUCCUGAGCC